Long non-coding RNA from Ictalurus punctatus (channel catfish), 607 nucleotides. The record is from Ensembl. NCBI's taxonomy places the organism in Eukaryota, Metazoa, Chordata, Actinopteri, Siluriformes, Ictaluridae.
AUCCGUGAAUUAAAAUGUGUCAAACUGUGACGAUUUACAACUCGCAGAAGUAAACAGUGUACUCUCUGUGUUUGUUCUGAGUGUACUGUGUGUGGUGUGUGUACUCUGUGUACUCUGUGUGCUGUGUGUACUCUGUGUACUGUGUGUAGUGUACUGCGUGUGUUGUGUGUGUGUGUGUGUGUUCUGAGUGUACUGUGUGUAGUGUACUGCGUGUGUUGUGUGUGUGUGUGUAGUGUACUGUGUGUAGUGUACUGUUUAGUGUACUGCGAGUGUUGUGUGUAGUGUACUGUUUAGUGUACUGCGUGUGUAGUGUACUGUGUAGUGUGUGUAGUGUUGUGUGUGUAGUGUUGUGUGUAGUGUACUGUUUAGUGUACUGCGUGUGUAGUGUACUGUGUGUGUGUGUGUGUAGUGUACUGUUUAGUGUACUGUGUGUGUUGUGUGUGUAGUGUUGUGUUGUUGUGUGUGUGUGUUAGUGUGUCCUGUGUGUAGUGUACUGUGUAGUGUACUGUGUGCUGUGUGUGUAGUGUUGUGUGUGUGUGUGUGUACUGUGUGUAGUGUACUGUUUAGUGUACUGCGUGUGUAGUGUACUGUGUGUAGUGUUUGUGUA